GAGUUUGAUCGUGGCUCAGGACGAACGCUGGCGGCGUGCCUAAUACAUGCAAGUCGAGCGGGAUGAUGAAGAAGCUUGCUUCUUCUGAUUUUAGCGGCGGACGGGUGAGUAACACGUGGGCAACCUACCUUGUAGAUUGGGAUAACUCCGGGAAACCGGGGCUAAUACCGAAUAAUCCAUCUUGCUUCAUGGCAAGAUGUUGAAAGGCGGCUUCGGCUGUCACUACGAGAUGGGCCCGCGGCGUAUUAGCUAGUUGGUAGGGUAAUGGCCUACCAAGGCGACGAUACGUAGCCGACCUGAGAGGGUGAUCGGCCACACUGGGACUGAGACACGGCCCAGACUCCUACGGGAGGCAGCAGUAGGGAAUCUUCCACAAUGGACGAAAGUCUGAUGGAGCAACGCCGCGUGAGUGAAGAAGGUUUUCGGAUCGUAAAACUCUGUUGUAAGGGAAGAACACGUACGAGAGUAACUGCUCGUACCUUGACGGUACCUUAUUAGAAAGCCACGGCUAACUACGUGCCAGCCG
Molecule: ribosomal RNA, 526 nt
Filed under: uncultured bacterium
Lineage: Bacteria
Description: bacterial SSU rRNA
Rfam family: Bacterial small subunit ribosomal RNA
Source: RNAcentral